AUGCGGCGGGAAGAAGUGGCAUUUAGAAGUGUUGCUGACUUUACAUUUAGGUUUCGGCAUAACAAAGCUUGCAGUGUCUUUUCGCACUUAGGCACACAGCGUGCCGUUGGUAAUGAUUCUACUACGGUGCUGCAAAUUCGCAAGCUGAUCCUAAGUAAUCAUUAUUGUUCAUUGGAUUCCUCCGGAAUUACUUCGUUAGGAUUGAAGAAUUGCUGCAAUUCUUCCUAA
This 228-nucleotide ribosomal RNA is filed under the name Triticum aestivum (bread wheat). Its description in RNAcentral is "partial small subunit ribosomal RNA". The record is from RNAcentral. Lineage: Eukaryota; Viridiplantae; Streptophyta; Magnoliopsida; Poales; Poaceae.